GGGCGAUUAGCUCAGCUGGGAGAGCGCCGCCUCGACAUGGCGGAGGUCACUGGUUCGAGCCCAGUAUCGCCCA
RNAcentral lists this transfer RNA (73 nucleotides) under Actinomycetes bacterium. RNAcentral describes it as "tRNA-Val". It matches the Rfam family "tRNA". From Rfam's summary of the family: Transfer RNA (tRNA) molecules are approximately 80 nucleotides in length. Their secondary structure includes four short double-helical elements and three loops (D, anti-codon, and T loops). RNAcentral also lists the same sequence under 2 other names. The record is from RNAcentral. Lineage: Bacteria; Bacillati; Actinomycetota; Actinomycetes.